RNAcentral lists this long non-coding RNA (723 nucleotides) under Bos indicus x Bos taurus (hybrid cattle). Its description in RNAcentral is "lncRNA (ENSBIXG00005005829.1)". The record is from RNAcentral. Lineage: Eukaryota; Metazoa; Chordata; Mammalia; Artiodactyla; Bovidae.
AAAGACCUUACUCACAUCUUCCACAUAACUUUUAAUAUAUCUGAUGACUGUUAUCAAGUGCCCUGCUCCGCAAAGCCCCACCAGCUUCCCCAGGCUUUUCUUCUUCAGUCUAUUUAUUCAGACAAAAAAACGACCUCAAUUUCUGUAGCCUUCCCACACAAUGAUCACUUUUCCAGCCCAUUUAUCAUUUUCAUUGAUCACCAAAGAGUCUCUUGGUUUCCAAACUUAUUUAGAAUCCGGACUUCCCCAGAACUGGUCCAUGCAAGUCCAUCUGCAUCAAGAGGCACUCUCGUGUCAAAGUCCAGGGCCUGGGUGGACUCCAAACCCCACUUGAGAUGUGGUGUUAGAGUGUGCGCAAAUCUCCAGAUUAACAUGAGACCUUUGGAAUGAUUGAAUAAGGAAGAAAUCUGGAGAACACAUAUGUGGGGUGCUUGUGAUUAUGGCUCCAACGUUCAAGCUGACACCACUGCUACUGUUUACCGGAGACAGAGCAUGAGGACCCAGCGCUGGCUGGCACAGCUGCAAAAGGUGUUCAGGUCACCCAUGAGUGAGGCGUUUAAGAGGGCGCUGGCUACUGAGACAAGGUAGAUGUUGAGAUCACAGUAGGCAAAUUCUUCUAUAGGAGGGAAAGCAUUAGUUCUUCAGCUUGUUGCAAGAUGUUGAUAUUUAAUGCCUUCAUAAAGAAAAACAUAACUAUAUCACAAAUUUGUUUCACGAAUGUAU